Non-coding RNA from Triticum aestivum (bread wheat), 107 nucleotides. The record is from Rfam. Lineage: Eukaryota; Viridiplantae; Streptophyta; Magnoliopsida; Poales; Poaceae.
AUAUUACUCCCUCCGUCCGGAAUUACUUGUCGCACAAAUGGAUAAAAGUGCAUGUAUCUAAAAUUAAAAUAUGUCCGACAAGUAUUUCCGGACGGAGGGAGUAUAAU